RNAcentral lists this microRNA precursor (161 nucleotides) under Pelobates cultripes (western spadefoot toad). Lineage: Eukaryota; Metazoa; Chordata; Amphibia; Anura; Pelobatidae. The record is from RNAcentral.
GCAGACACAUUCCAGCCAAUCAGCAGCAGACCCUCCCUCCCUGACCUCCCACCUCCAGCAUCCCUUUUACAUUCAUUGUGAAGCUGCAUUCUUAGUGAGGUGUCCAGGAGGUGGGAGGGUCUGGGAGGGAGGCUCUGCUGCUGAUUGGCUGGAAUGUGUCU